UCUUUACCUUCAGUAUGAGGAUGAGGAUAAGCCAAUCUAUUUUUAUAUAAAUUCUACUGGGACUACCAAGGGUGGUGAAAAGUUGGGUUAUGAGACAGAGGCGUUUGCUGUAUAUGACGUUAUGAGUUACGUCAAGCCACCUAUAUUUACUCUGUGUGUUGGGAAUGCAUGGGGAGAAGCUGCCUUGCUUUUAGCAGCUGGUUCAAAAGGAAAUCGUGCUGCACUGCCCUCAUCUACAAUUAUGAUUAAGCAGCCAAUUUCUCAGUUUCAGGGUCAAGCAACAGAUGUUGAGAUCAUGCGGAAAGAAGUAAAUAAUGUCAAAGCGGAAUUGGUCAAAUUGUAUUCAGAAAAUACUGGAAAAUCACCUGAGGAGAUUGAAGAAGACAUAAAACGUCCAAAAUACUUUAGUCCUAGUGAAGCAGUAGAAUAUGGAAUUAUUGAUAAGGUUGUAUACAAUGAGAGGGGAAAUAAAGAUAGAGGAGUUGUAUCUGAUCUGAAGAAGGCCCAACUUAUCUGAAAGGAGUCAAAAGUCCCACCAGCCACGAAACCACAGGGAUUGAGGCCCGGGGGUGGCGUUUGGCAUCUACCUUUCACCGGCAAUUCAUCAACAAGGCUAUUUCCCAUCAUGAACGCUCCUUUUAAUCUACAGAUUGCCUCGAACUAUAUUAGAGGCCACAGUUGGGACAGCUAUUAUACUUGUUUUAUACAGAUCCUAGUCACUUAGAUUCUGCAUUCUGUGUUGGCUCAACGAAGUAGCUUAUAGAACACGUGUGAAGUUUGCACUAUUUUAGAAUGUUAUGGUCUUAAGAUGGUUCCAAUAUUCAGUAAAAUAUUCUAACUGCAAGUCUUUACACCAAUUUGUUAAGUGGAGAUCUCAGAAAGGUGAAACAAUUCG
Molecule: unclassified non-coding RNA, 895 nt
Filed under: Hevea brasiliensis (rubber tree)
Lineage: Eukaryota; Viridiplantae; Streptophyta; Magnoliopsida; Malpighiales; Euphorbiaceae
Source: RNAcentral